RNAcentral lists this ribosomal RNA (496 nucleotides) under uncultured bacterium. Its description in RNAcentral is "partial 16S ribosomal RNA". It matches the Rfam family "Bacterial small subunit ribosomal RNA", at positions 29 to 507 of the family's 1533-position model. The record is from RNAcentral.
AUGAACGCUGGCGGCGUGCCUAAUACAUGCCAGUCGAGCGAACAGACGAGGAGCUUGCUCCUCUGACGUUAGCGGCGGACGGGUUAGUAACACGUGGAUAACCUACCUAUAAUACUGGGAUAACUUCGGGAACCCGGAGCUAAUACCGGAUAAUAUAUUGAACCGCAUGGUUCAAUAGUUAAAUACGGUUUUUCUGUCUCUUAUAGAUUGAUCCGCGCCUCAUUAGCUAGUUGGUAAGGUAACGGCUUACCAAGGCAACGAUGCGUAGCCGACCUGAGAGGGUGAUCGGCCACACUGGAACUGAGACACGGUCCAGACUACUACGGGAGGCAGCAGUAGGGAAUCUUCCGCAAUGGGCGAAAGCUUGACGGAGCAACGCCGAGUGAGUGAUGAAGGUCUUCGGAUCGUAAAACUCUGUUAUUAGGGAAGAAAAAAUGUGUAAGUAAAUAUGCACGUAUUGACGGUACCUAAUAAGAAAGCAACGGCUAACUACGUG